GGAUGCGAUUGUACUAGCACUAACGCAUCGAAUCUCAUCAGAACUUCGAAGUUAAGAGCGCUUGGGCGAGAGUAGUACUAGGAUGGGUGACCCCCUGGGAAGUCCUCAUGUUGGAUCCC
Molecule: ribosomal RNA, 119 nt
Organism: Capsicum annuum
Lineage: Eukaryota; Viridiplantae; Streptophyta; Magnoliopsida; Solanales; Solanaceae
Source: RefSeq, a predicted model, not a curated record